UGGGGAAUUUUGGACAAUGGGCGCAAGCCUGAUCCAGCAAUGCCGCGUGCAGGAUGAAGGCCUUCGGGUUGUAAACUGCUUUUGUCAGGGAAGAAACGAGUUUCUCUAAUACGGAGACUUAAUGACGGUACCUGAAGAAUAAGCACCGGCUAACUACGUGCCAGCAGCCGCGGUAAUACGUAGGGUGCGAGCGUUAAUCGGAAUUACUGGGCGUAAAGCGUGCGCAGGCGGUUAUAUAAGACGGAUGUGAAAUCCCCGGGCUCAACCUGGGACCUGCAUUUGUGACUGUAUAGCUAGAGUACGGUAGAGGGGGAUGGAAUUCCGCGUGUAGCAGUGAAAUGCGUAGAUAUGCGGAGGAACACCGAUGGCGAAGGCAAUCCCCUGGACCUGUACUGACGCUCAUGCACGAAAGCGUGGGGAGCAAACA
RNAcentral lists this ribosomal RNA (427 nucleotides) under uncultured bacterium. RNAcentral describes it as "bacterial SSU rRNA". It matches the Rfam family "Bacterial small subunit ribosomal RNA", at positions 355 to 774 of the family's 1533-position model. The record is from RNAcentral.